RNAcentral lists this ribosomal RNA (347 nucleotides) under uncultured bacterium. Its description in RNAcentral is "partial 16S ribosomal RNA". It matches the Rfam family "Bacterial small subunit ribosomal RNA", at positions 338 to 682 of the family's 1533-position model. The record is from RNAcentral.
CCUACGGGGGGCAGCAGUGAGGAAUAUUGGUCAAUGGACGAGAGUCUGAACCAGCCAAGUAGCGUGAAGGAUGACUGCCCUAUGGGUUGUAAACUUCUUUUAUAGGGGAAUAAAACAGGGUAUGCAUACCAUCUUGUAUGUACCAUAUGAAUAAGGAUCGGCUAACGCCGUGCCAGCAGCCGCGGUAAUACGGAGGAUCCGAGCGUUAUCCGGAUUUAUUGGGUUUAAAGGGAGCGUAGGUGGAUUGUUAAGUCAGUUGUGAAAGUUUGCGGCUCAACCGUAAAAUUGCAGUUGAAACUGGCAGUCUUGCGUACAGUAUCGGUCGGCGGACUUCGUGGUGUAGCGGU